AUUGAACGCUGGCGGCAGGCCUAACACAUGCAAGUCGAACGGUAACAGGAAGCAGCUUGCUGCUUCGCUGACGAGUGGCGGACGGGUGAGUAAUGUCUGGGAAACUGCCUGAUGGAGGGGGAUAACUACUGGAAACGGUAGCUAAUACCGCAUAACGUCGCAAGCCCAAAGAGGGGGACCUUAGGGCCUCUUGCCAUCGGAUGUGCCCAGAUGGGAUUAGCUAGUAGGUGGGGUAACGGCUCACCUAGGCGACGAUCCCUAGCUGGUCUGAGAGGAUGACCAGCCACACUGGAACUGAGACACGGUCCAGACUCCUACGGGAGGCAGCAGUGGGGAAUAUUGCACAAUGGGCGCAAGCCUGAUGCAGCCAUGCCGCGUGUAUGAAGAAGGCCUUCGGGUUGUAAAGUACUUUCAGCGGGGAGGAAGGGAGUAAAGUUAAUACCUUUGCUCAUUGACGUUACCCGCAGAAGAAGCGCCGGCUAACUCCGUG
This 490-nucleotide ribosomal RNA is filed under the name uncultured bacterium. RNAcentral describes it as "partial 16S ribosomal RNA". It matches the Rfam family "Bacterial small subunit ribosomal RNA", at positions 30 to 507 of the family's 1533-position model. The record is from RNAcentral.